AGUGAACGCUGGCGGUAGGCCUAACACAUGCAAGUCGAACGGCAGCACAGUAAGAGCUUGCUCUUACGGGUGGCGAGUGGCGGACGGGUGAGGAAUACAUCGGAAUCUACUUUUUCGUGGGGGAUAACGUAGGGAAACUUACGCUAAUACCGCAUACGACCUACGGGUGAAAGCAGGGGAUCUUCGGACCCUGCGCGAUUGAAUGAGCCGAUGUCGGAUUAGCUAGUUGGCGGGGUAAAGGCCCACCAAGGCGACGAUCCGUAGCUGGUCUGAGAGGAUGAUCGGCCACACUGGAACUGAGACACGGUCCAGACUCCUACGGGAGGCAGCAGUGGGGAAUAUUGGACAAUGGGCGCAAGCCUGAUCCAGCCAUACCGCGUGGGUGAAGAAGGCCUUCGGGUUGUAAAGCCCUUUUGUUGGGAAAGAAAAGCAGCAGGUUAAUACCCCGCUGUUCUGACGGUACCCAAAGAAUAAGCACCGGCUAACUUCGUG
Molecule: ribosomal RNA, 492 nt
Filed under: uncultured bacterium
Lineage: Bacteria
Description: partial 16S ribosomal RNA
Rfam family: Bacterial small subunit ribosomal RNA
Source: RNAcentral